Molecule: long non-coding RNA, 230 nt
Filed under: Elaeis guineensis (African oil palm)
Lineage: Eukaryota; Viridiplantae; Streptophyta; Magnoliopsida; Arecales; Arecaceae
Description: long non-coding RNA (EGUI_LNC082832)
Source: RNAcentral
GACCGCCACGGUGACUUGCAAGCAACUCACUGCACUUAGACACUGGACUACUUGAAUUUUUAAUUCAAUGAUGGAAGGAUGCUGGGUGUAGUCAAGUACUUGACUUGUUGGUGCAUGUGUCAAGAUGGGAUUGACCACUCCAGUUCAGGAGCUGUGUACAGUCAUAUUUUAAUUUAGCAAAACUUUAGCUAGGGUAGUCCUAGUGAGGAGUCACAGGACUGUUUGAGUUG